Molecule: long non-coding RNA, 291 nt
Filed under: Physcomitrium patens
Lineage: Eukaryota; Viridiplantae; Streptophyta; Bryopsida; Funariales; Funariaceae
Description: long non-coding RNA (PPAT_LNC001031)
Source: RNAcentral
GUGGCAAACAAACUUAUACAUCUUCCAAGGUAGGAACCUUGCUGAGAAGGUGGAUUAGAUGGAUGAUGUGGAAGAGUGCUUAAGUAUUGAGGCUUUAAUAUUUGGUUCCAAUGGAUAUAGCUCCACUUCAAGGGAGACACCGUCCAUUGAUUUGUGGCACUAUUAUUUGGAGCAUUUGACACCAUCCAUUGAUUUGUGGCACUACUAUUUGGAGCAUUUGAGUAGCAAGGAUUUGACAACUUUGGUCAACAAGGAUUUAUUGUAAGGUAUCAAGUCAGAUAAGCUUUCUUU